ACGUAGGGAGCAAGCGUUAUCCGGAAUUACUGGGUGUAAAGGGUGCGCAGGCGUUUUGUUGUGUUAGGAGUUAAAUCUCAAGGCUCAACCUUGGGGCUGCUCCUAAAACUGGCAGAAUAGAGUGUGGAAGACGGAAGUGGAAUUUCUAGUGGAGAGGUAAAAUCCGGGGAGAUUAGAAGGAAAAAAAGUGGUGUAAAAGGAGUAAGAGUCCAUAAAUGAAGCUCAGGCAAGAAAGAUAGGGUAGCAAACAG
Molecule: ribosomal RNA, 251 nt
Filed under: uncultured prokaryote
Description: partial 16S rRNA
Rfam family: Bacterial small subunit ribosomal RNA
Source: RNAcentral